Molecule: long non-coding RNA, 526 nt
Organism: Pangasianodon hypophthalmus (striped catfish)
Lineage: Eukaryota; Metazoa; Chordata; Actinopteri; Siluriformes; Pangasiidae
Exons: 3
Source: RefSeq, a predicted model, not a curated record
AGGGGAGGCAGAGAAGAAAUACGGCACAGAACUAGGGGGAGAAUGUACAGAAGUGGGAGUAGGAUGAGAGUAGGACGAGAGAGCGAAACAGAGAGAACAGAAGACGAGAGUGAAGGAUAGAUAAGGAGUACGGUGAGAGUUGAGGAGAGUGAGAGAGGGCAUGAAGAGUGAAAAGAGAGCAGAACGGAAAGGCAGAGCAGCGGACAAAAAGACACAGGCAGGAGAAGUCAGCGAUGAGGUGUGAGUGUGUGUCCACGGUGUCCUCUGAUGGAUUGGCGUCAUAUCCUGGGUGUGUUCCUGUGUUCCUUCGGGUUUCUGGGAGAGGCUUCGGAUACACCGUGACCCUGGCCAGGGUGGAGAUGAAGCAAGGGCUGUAUCCCGCUGGCACCGCCUAUUAGCAGGCAUUGUGGGUAAUCAGGUUAAUCUUUAAGAUUAACAUGGGAUCUUCAGUUGGAUCCAAUAUUCAACAGAAUUUCAUUACGGAGUAAAUAUUGGAUGCAACUGAAGAUCCCAUGUUUAAAGAUUA